GACGAACGCUGGCGGCGUGCUUAACACAUGCAAGUCGAACGGAAAGGCCCCUUUGGGGGUACUCGAGUGGCGAACGGGUGAGUAACACGUGAGUAACCUGCCCUUGACUUCGGGAUAACUUCAGGAAACUGGGGCUAAUACCGGAUAGGAAUCCUUGCUGCAUGGUGGGGGUUGGAAAGCUUCGGCGGUUUUGGAUGGACUCGCGGCUUAUCAGCUUGUUGGUGGGGUAGUGGCUUACCAAGGCUUUGACGGGUAGCCGGCCUGAGAGGGCGACCGGCCACAGUGGGACUGAGAUACGGCCCAGACUCCUACGGGAGGCAGCAGUGGGGAAUAUUGCACAAGGGGCGGAAGCCUGAUGCAGCAACGCCGCGUGCGGGAUGACGGCCUUCGGGUUGGAAACCGCGUUCAGCAGGGGCGAAGCUUGUGGUGACGGUACCUGCAGAAGAAGCACCGGCUAACUACGUG
RNAcentral lists this ribosomal RNA (465 nucleotides) under uncultured bacterium. RNAcentral's name for it is "partial 16S ribosomal RNA". It matches the Rfam family "Bacterial small subunit ribosomal RNA", at positions 28 to 507 of the family's 1533-position model. The record is from RNAcentral.